Long non-coding RNA from Eriocheir sinensis (Chinese mitten crab), 4400 nucleotides. RefSeq lists it as uncharacterized. The transcript has 2 exons. NCBI's taxonomy places the organism in Eukaryota, Metazoa, Arthropoda, Malacostraca, Decapoda, Varunidae. The record is from RefSeq and is a predicted model, not a curated record.
GGGUGACGAGUGUGUGUGUGUUUCAGUUUUCCUACUUUCACCCUGUGCAUAAGUAAAAUCGAGGUUAACGGAAAGCAGCCAGGCAGUCACUCAGUCAGCCACCAAGUCAAUCAGUCAGUCAGUCAGUCACCACAUCUGUUAGUCACAGUCAGUCAGUCGGAAAAUCCGCCAUUCAGUCAUUCAUUUAGUCAACUAGUCAACCAUUCACAUGGCCAGUCAGCCUGUCCGGCAGUCAGCCAGUCAACCACUCAUUCAUACGUAAGAACAUAAGAACGUAAGGAGUCUGUAAGAGGCCGGUUGGCCUAUACAAGGCAGGUCCUGUAAUCCUAACCCCACCUUACCUCACCAUCCAUGACUUUAUCUAACCUCUUCUUGAAUGUAUCUUUGGUAUUGGCACCAAAAACAUGGCCGCCAAGACUGUUCCAUUCAUCCACCACUCAAAUGGUAAACCAAUUCUUGCCUAUGUCUUUGUUGAAUCUGAAUUUAUUCAACCCAAAACCAUUGCUACGUGUCCUACUUGGUUCUUUUACAACCAAAACCCUACUGACGUCCCCUUUAUUGAAGCCCGUCAUCCAUUUAUAGACUUCGAUCAGGUCUCCCCGCAACCUUCGCCUUUGUAGAAAGUGAAGAUUUAAAUGCUUCAGUCUGUCCUCAUAAGGCAAGUUUCUCACCCCCUGAAUCAUCUUUGUCAUCCUCCUUUGUACAGAUUCUAACAUAUUGAUAUCCAUUCUGUAGAAGGAUAACCAGAACCGAACCACAUAAUCAAUAUGAGGUCUAACUAGUGCUAAGUGAAGUUUGAGGAUGACUUCAGCGCUUCUAUAGCUUACGCUCCUUGAGAUGAAACCCAGUACCCUGUUUGCACGAUUUUUAGCCUGAAUGCAUUGAGCCUAGGACGUAGGUCAGCGCUCACUAAGACUCCUAAUCCAUCUACCACUUCCCCGUCCAAUCAUAUAGUCUGUCAAGUUCAUCCUGGAGAACGCUAGCGUCCAGGUCUGAUUGGAUUACUCUACCGAUCUUAUCAUCAUCUACGAGCUUACUGACACCACUACUAAUUCCUGUGUCGAAAUCAUUGAUGUAAAUAAUAAAAAGCAGUGGACCCAGCACCGACCCCUGCGGGGCUCCACUCGUAACACUGCCCCAUUCAGAUUUUUUACCACUAAUUUGCACACUCUACUUUCUACCACUAAGCCAAGCCCUAAUCCAGAUCAAGACUUUCCCAUCUACGCCGUGAACCUGUAAUUUUAGUAAUAGCCGGUGAUGAGGAACUUUGUCGAACGCUGUACUUAAAUCUAGAUAGAGUAUGUCAUAGUUUUCAUCUCUGCCAACCGCCUCGAUUACUUUAGUGUAGAAGGACAACAGUUUAGUAAGGCAAGCCCUACCCUUCGCGAACAAAUGCUGUGAGUCAUGAAUUAAAUUUUCCUUCUCUAGAUGGUCCCGAAUGCUCCCGGCUAUAAUUGACUCCAACAUCUUUGUCAUGAACUCCUCAUUCCAGUGGAAGAUUCCAUUAUUCUUACUCUCCAACGGGUCACCUGCACAGCAAGAGCGAGAGUGGGCGGAGCUUAUUCAAAUAAUAUUAUCGCCUAUUGGUGCCAAUGCUGAAAUAUUCGUGGGAUGCAUGACGCACUAUUACUUAGUGCAUGGUGUUAGGUUAACACCAGUUAGGUUAAUUUAAGUGUUAUCCAGAGCGAGAGAUGUCAGUUGUGGCGAGUGCUGGCAUCUUGGCCGCCGGGCAAGCCAGGGCGAGCGGGGUCGCGACCCAGCCGCAGCCUACUUCUCUGAGUGACCCAGCCGUGACCGGAGGUGCUUCCCUCUAUUUCCAGGACCACGUGUUUACAUCGUGGUGGUCUUCCUACCACCUGCAGGCAUCCACAAGUCAGGCGACUGUGUGCUUCAGGUCAGGACGGCCCAGGGAGGUUACGAGAGGCGGCGUGUGGCUGGAUCCAGGACUACAUCGUGGGCGGUGAGGACCACGUGGCACCAGCGGGCGGCCUCCGGCGCGCCCAUCUACUGGAGCUAAGUAUAGUGUUCGUGCCUAUGGUAUUUUAAGACAGUUAGCUAGGUAGCUGUGUGCCUGGAUUAAUUAAUUAUUCCUCAUUUCCAGGGAGGCGGUGGCUGAAUGGAUAGCGUGACGGCCCCGCAUUCUGGACGACGCGAGUUCAAUUCCCGACCGGUGCCACUAAGCUGGGAUUUUUCAGCCGCCGCCGAGUGGCUUAAAACUACCCACAUGCUGUCCAGAAGACCACUUAUCAACCCGGACUCUAGAUUCUAGGAUUAAAGAUGAGCUCCGGGAGGGCAGCAUGAGCCAAUGUAAGAUGGUGCCACUAUAAACACUCGCCUGCGCCAGAACGGGCUGGGCCGACCAUCAGGCCCCACCGGGAAGAAGCUCAUAGAUCGACUAUAAUGAACAUAAGCUUUUCAUGUCGAGAGGGUACUUGCUGGCGAUCGCAAGUCCAACUCGUGAUCAGGCCGUGGUGAACCACACAUAUACGGUAGACACAUCAUUACGCGUGAAGGAAGAAAUAAAGAAAGGUGAAAAAUAUGUCUUUCGAUAAUUUUCCUAUACCCACAUACAUACCACACAUCUCGAUCCUAUCUCAAAGCUUCAUGUACUAUUUGGUUUGGAUCUGCUGUUCAGAUUUUGAGAACAGUGCCUCUGCGGGCUUUUUUACUUUUCUUUAUCUUUGCCUCCUUUGCUGCAAAACAGGGGAUGGAUGCAUUUGUUUAGUUAUCACCGGGAAAAGUUGGAUUUCUUUAGGCACUGAAGAACACAAAGUUCCUUAUUAUUAUUAUUAUUAUUAUUAUUAUUAUUAUUAUUAUUAUUAUUAUUAUUAUUAUUAUUAUUAUUAUUAUUAUUAUUAUUAUUAUUAUUAUUAUUAUUAUUAUUAUUAUUAUUAUUAUUAGAAAAAAAAUAGCAAGGUCAGAGGUCAAGCGUUCUGUAACGGGCAGCCUCAAGUUGUGUGAUCCUUUCCGUGAGUCAGUUUACUGAGCAAAAGUGGAGUAAUGCAGAGUAGAGUCAUCGGCAUGAGAAUAAAUAAGUCAAGGUAAAGUUGGUGGCAUAAGCUUAGCGGCGCCUUGCCAUGGUGCUCCUUUUUGUCUCGCUGACCCAUGAGCCAGUGGUGGAAAAAACUGCUUUCCCCGAGACACAAGCCACUUGUCACAUCCAUUUCAGGUCACUCUGUCUUCCACAGGCUUCCCCAGGUACCCAUUUACUGACCAGCCCGAAAGGAGAGAACAACUGGGUGAGCCGGUCGCCGAGUGCUGCGGGUCGCAUAUACCCGAAGUCUCUUAUGGUUCGGCAUAAGGAGAAUUUGGACCAAUCAGCGCGCGCGCGCACACACACACACACACACACACACACUCUAACCGCUUAAUCCAUAUCCAUACAGUGAUAAUACCGUCACCUCUGAUAACACCGCACAGUGAUAGUAACAUCGUCUGUACAUUAAGGUGUUCCUAAUAUGUAGAAGCAAAGGAAAAGGAGAAGAAAGAAAGCCUCUCCAUUUCCAAUUCUGGAUCUUAAAAACAGUCAGUAUAGUGUUAAAUCUUAAAAAUGGUAAGGAUAAAAGUAAAAUAAAAGUCACGUGCACAGUGGCAUAGUUACCAUCAAUUCUGGCCUGGCCAGACCCACCCAGCACCCCGCGCUUAACGCGCGCGCUGAUCGGUCCUAAUUUCUCCUUAUGCUGAACCCUAAAAGACUUCGGGAAUACGCCACCGGGGAAGGCCAGCCAGCCCGCAGGCCAGUGGGUGUGAGCCGUCUUGUGACGGGUCACGAAAACUUUCUGCUGCCUUAAGAUGCAAGGCCCCUUCUGUACCUUGGUGGUGCCCCGUCCCUCCCGCCUCCCUCCUGUGCAUAAUACCUAACAAUAUGACACUCACUUUCUCCCUCGGCCCGCCUCCUGGCGUCCCCGAAGUAUAUAAGCCGAGGCUGGCAGGCUGACACACUGGAGCCUCUCGAAGCUGCUGAUCUGAUAAUUAAGAGGCAUCAUGGGUUGUCUGGCACAAAUUUUCUUUGCUGGCCUGUUGGUGGCUGCCGUGAGCACCGCCCCAACGGAGCUGGAGGCGCCCCACCCUCUGCCAGGCACUGGCAACCACGCCAGAAGCUCUUUCAGACACCGCUUCUCGGACCAUCAGGAGACUCCAACAAGGAAACACCAUGGAUUCCAGGCCCCGGGAGAAGAUCACGAGACUGAGAGCGAUAACAAGCCUGAACACUCCUUCUCAGUCCAUGAUGCCGAGCCCAAACACGGCGAUGAAGAGGCCCACACCACCAACAACGAGGAAGAAGUCACCGACGAGCCUGAAGAUGUCCAAGUCACCGACCCCCCUUCACCUACCGGCCCGACCUUCCGACGCCUCCUUAAACCUAUGAGAAGGUUAUAAUCUCUUAUAAGAAAUUACAA